AGAGCGACGUCCGCGUCUCUCUGCGACGUGCGCUUCCAUUGGUGGGCGCAGGAGCCGCCGGCGACUCGUGACCGUCUCCAUGGCGCCGGCGCGUGGGGAAGCGGAGGCGGGCGCCUCGCGGCCCACUCGGCCACCGAGGCUAACCCUUAGUCCCUAAUGUCCUUAUGACCAUGGUCACGGGCUGCCUCUGAGCCCCACUGGAACUGAAAGGGAUGACCUGUGAUCUGCAACCACCAGUAAGAACAAACUACAGAGUACAGUUGUGCGCUAACUUCAACAGCAUGUCUGUUUUGCUGCAGCACAUGGACAUUUAUGAGAAGUUAAGUCCAGAGUUGAUUUGCAAAGUCCCAUUUUGAUAACUCUGCCUCCCUUGCCACAGAAGUGGCCGUGGAACUUGCACCUGAUUAAUUUGAGCAACAGUGAUUAGUGAAUUGACAAGUGAUAUAAGCGGAGAUGGAAUCCCUUUCUGGCUUUGAUACUAUCUAAAAGAAAGGUUUGGGUACAACAAGGCUAAGAGAUUUGCCCCUGGAUGUUCCUGUCCCCGGAAUCCAGAUUUUCAUCACAGUUCAUUAUAGGAGAAGUGCAAAUGAACAUGGCUGUAGGUGUUCAGCUCCAAGAAUAAAAAGUUAGACAUUAAAAUUCUGUUUGGGAACAAGAAAUAUGUGACUCAUUAUUCUUUAUCAUAUACUUAUUUAUAUAUUCAUUUCUUCCAUGAGAUGCCCUACCGUGACAUUAAAAGUAGUAAUUUAUCCCAAAGCACCUGGGUUAGGCACCCGACUCUUGAUUUUGGCUCAGGUCAUGAUCUCCCAGUUCCUAAGUUCAAGACCCUAGUCGGGCUCCACACUGACAGUCUGCUUGGGAUUCACUCUCUUUCCCUCUCUCUCUGCCCCUCCCUCUACAAAAUAAAUAAACUUUAAAAAAAAGUAGUAAUUUCUCCCAAAUUAAACAAUAAUCAUGAGUAACUCCCAAAUAGACAGUCCUUCCGACCAAGGAGACUGAAAGAGAGACAGCAAGUGGGAGAAAGCCAUCCAAAUGUUGCACCAGUUCAAGCUGAAGGACACAGGAGGACGAAGAUUUAACCCAUUAUGUCUAAUUUGUAAAAUUCCACAGUCCAUUUCAGGUUUAAAACUCUAUCUCUUCUUUUUCCAAAAGUUCUACUUCUACCCUCCACCCCAAGCAUUAAAACCAUCUUUUAUACCCCCCUCCAAAUUUGAAAGUAGCUGAGAACUUAAAAAGAAUAAACCCAAUAGGCACAGAGGGAAAAUAUGGGUCUCAGAGUUGGUUUGAGAUAGGUAAAGAAUAUUUAAAAUAUUUGUGUAAACUGCUUAACAAAAGUAGAGAAUUCCUUUCUUCUUAAAACAAUGUAGCACAUAAUUUUGUCUAACAGACAACUGAUUGUUCUCUGAUGGUAAAAUAAUUAUGAAAAUACCAGGAAUUGACAAAUGAGUUAGAUUGCUUGCUAUAAUCAAUAUAGCUACAGUUUGAAAAUAAGAUGUGGGGUGAGGGGGAAGCAGGGCAGGAAAUUUAGAAUUUUUGUAGGACAUCAUGGUUUUUUCAGUCAGUGACUCUUGAUAAAGGCCAAUUUUGAAUUAGUUUAAAAAUCAGAGACCAAUAGAUAGCAUUAUAGGAUGCAAUCUUGGAAAACUUCACAGUAAAUAUUUUAUUAACUCUCUAGAUAAAGACGACUUUCAGGAAGGAUACUGGUGAUGGAACACUUUCUAUCGAGUAAUAGUUAUACUGUACACAACCAUGGGUUUAUGUCUUUCUUGUCUACUAAAUUGAGCUCCUUGAAGGAAAAAAUGCUGUCUUCAUAUCCACCACUCCUAUACAAAAUGUGACUCAAAUGUUCAUGUAAUUGUUUAAUUUACUUACUUUUAUCUUGUAUGAUUAUGGAGCAUACACUCAAAUGAGAGUUUAUAUUAGAAUCACUUUUGAAGCUUUUCAUAAAACAGAUGCUCAGGAACCAUACACAGGCCUACAUAUGUUGAAAAAGCUCAGCAAGUUGGUACACUAAUCCAUAACAUGAUGAGUAUAUAGAGAACCACCAAAGUCAGGAACAAGGCAAAGAUGCCCGUUAGCUCCACUACUGUUCGUUCAUCUUGGAGCAGAGGUAUUAGUGAAUUCAAUCGUAUAAGAGAGAAUAAGCAGAAGUAUAAGAAUUGAAAAAGAAAGAGUAAAACUAUAUCCAAUGACAUAUGAUAUAUCCGUAUACCUAAAACACAGAAGAGAAUCAAUUCUAAUACCAAUAAGAAAAAACACUUAAUAAGGUAGGAGAUAUUAAACUAACUAUAAAAAUCAAUAACUUUCACAGACAAAUAAUCACUUAAAAUCUAUAAUUGAAGUAAAAAUAUAGUAACAAUGAAAAGAGAAAUGCUUAAGAAUAAUCUUAACAAAAAAGGUGACAAACCUAUAUAAGAAAAAAUUUAACUACUCUUGAACCCAGAAAGUAGACCUAAAGAAAUGGAAAGGCAUCCCUUGUUUUGAGAUAAAACAACUCAACAUUAUAAAGAUGUAAAUUCUCUCCAAGUUAAUAUGUAAAUUUAUUGUGAUCU
Felis catus (domestic cat) is the source of this 2552-nucleotide long non-coding RNA. RefSeq lists it as uncharacterized. NCBI's taxonomy places the organism in Eukaryota, Metazoa, Chordata, Mammalia, Carnivora, Felidae. The transcript has 4 exons. The record is from RefSeq and is a predicted model, not a curated record.